ACAGAGGUCUCAAGCGUUGUUCGGAAUUACUGGGCGUAAAGGGUGCGCAGGCCGCGCGGGCAGUCAAAUGUGUAAUUCAGGGGCUCAACCCCUGCACUGCGCUUGAUACUUCCGCGCUCGAACCUUGGAGAGGAGUCUGGAAUUCUCGGUGUAGCAGUGAAAUGCGUGGAUAUCGAGAAGAACACUUAGGGCGAAAGCAAGACUCUGGACAAGUGUUGACGCUCAUGCACGAAGGCUAGGGUAGCGAACGGGA
RNAcentral lists this ribosomal RNA (253 nucleotides) under uncultured prokaryote. Its description in RNAcentral is "partial 16S ribosomal RNA". It matches the Rfam family "Bacterial small subunit ribosomal RNA", at positions 525 to 777 of the family's 1533-position model. The record is from RNAcentral.